CCAUCACCCUUGGUGCAACUCUGCGUGGGACUCCCAGUACCACACACCUGGGCAACGUCAGCAGCAAGAGGCAUGGGAAGACGGUUUUACAAGGUGGCUGUGUGAGCAAUAGCUGCCUUUUGCCUCAAGAUGCUAUUUAGAGGCCAUAAUAACAAGCAAAAUUUCCUGAGAUUUGAGCACGUUGUGUUUGGUGAGGAUUCUCAAGGAAGGAAAUACUUGGAAUGUUGUUUGUGUAAAAAUGACAUCGUUGGAGUCUUCUGUGUGGUAGACAAGCUGGCAAAAAAUCAAAUCAUGGGCUGCGUCCUUCCGCCCCUGCCUGUGUUCCAGAAAGAGCCAGCACCUGUGUUCCCUGAGCAGACCAAGAACAUUAUUUAAUGGACUUGCCAAUUAGCAUUGGUUUCUCCCUGGUUGCUGUAUGAAUGCAGAGUGAGAAAGAGGCCUAUCUCUGGAGAUCUUCCCCGAUGAUGAGACAUAAACUGAUGUUGUAGGUUGUCGAUGGAUUUCGGCUGUUGCGGCUGAUUGCACAAUCUAGCAAAAAAUCCAUUGGUCCAUAACUGAAAAAGUUUAUUCAGAGCAAUGUUGGAGGUGCAUACAGAAGCUGGGCAGACCUUCCCACCAGUCACUAAGGGAACAGGUCACACUCAUCCCAUUCUCAGGGCUGUUAGAGCUGCUUCAUGAAGCCCAGAGGAUGUAUCACAAGGCUGGAAAAGGGGAUCAGUCCUGCUUACACCCAGCAUGUGAAGAAAGCCACCUGAACCCCCCAGUUACAGCAUCCAUCCUUCCUGGUGUGCUGUGAAGUCUUAAUUUUUCUGGGCCUACAGCUGUCUCCCCGAAAUUAAUCACAGCUGGUUUCUCAGUCCAAACAAACUCUCAUGGAAACUUGAUUCUCUCUCCUGUGAAUGCAUGCAAGAAAGAAGGUGCUAUUUUUUUUUUUUUUUUUUUUUGCACAGUGAUCUUUCAGAUUAGAACUAGAUGAUAUAAGUGCAAGACACAUCAUUAACUAGAGGAAUCUGCUAAUACAUAUUAUCAUUAAAUGGGCAGAAGACUAUUUCUUGAAUUGCAGUCACAAAACUAUGUGCAGUGUUUGCUAACUGCUGUUUGCUUCCAAAUACUGCAUGUUUCUUGCUCAUUAAUUACUGCUACAGUUUGCAGGAAUUAUUCCAUAAUUAAUUGGCCUUUAAAGCACUGUGCUGUAUCUUUCUCACAUCUGGGAAGUCCUACUCAAGAUCGUAUUUUUCCUGCAAGUUUUUCGUAGAAGC
RNAcentral lists this long non-coding RNA (1259 nucleotides) under Numida meleagris (helmeted guineafowl). RNAcentral's name for it is "lncRNA (ENSNMEG00000014478.1)". Lineage: Eukaryota; Metazoa; Chordata; Aves; Galliformes; Numididae. The record is from RNAcentral.